GUGAGAGUAAAAAACUUUCCAGUGUUUAAGAAUACAUUCCAAAGGAAUGAGAGGUUGAGAUACGGAGUGUCCUAUCGCAAACAAGAGAAAGGAACUGGCAUUCCUGGUGAGAGCUACUUGAUUCAUAAAUCCUCACAGUGUCCUCAAGGUGACUCAUUGAAGAGCAGGUGGCUGCCAUCUGGAGGAAAAUGGAAGAUUACGGACCAGCCACAUGUAAUGGCUCAACAGCGCCAUCUUCACCAGGAAGCUCAUGUUUCUACCCCACUAGGAGUCUAUCUUACUAGUAAAGAGAGAGCAGUCCAAACCUGUAGCUCAACUCUUAACAGAAGCUUAAGAAAGGACUGUGAUGACAUCAUCUCAGAUCGCUCUGAGACAGAGGACAUCUGAUGACCACUGACCGACCCCUUUCGCCUCACUGAGGAGUGCUGUUUCCACUAGUUCCACUCAACCAGAGACCUGCCUCUGAAAGGAACCCAGCUGCCUAUCUGUGCAGAGGGCUGUGAAGAGUGAACUCCAAAACUGGUUCUUUAUAGAAGUGAAUCUGGCUGAAGCCUACUGCUGAGGUCAGGGUAACUCACACCCAAAUUUUGUUCUCACAACUAAAACCUCUGACUAGCAGGACAGUGUUCUAAUUACAACCAUAUAUUUUGUCUAUUCUGUUCCUAAUUUGAGAAUGCUUUGUCUUGUCCUUUUUGAGCCUUGUUUACAUUAAUUUCCACAGAAACCACAUGUCACCUUUACCCCCAUUAAUCAUCAAUAAAAGUCAGUGCCUUGGACUGUACAGCACCUUUGUGGAUUACGCCAGCAUCGGUAGUCCUAGCACCCCGCAUUC
This 832-nucleotide long non-coding RNA is filed under the name Fukomys damarensis (Damara mole-rat). RNAcentral's name for it is "lncRNA (ENSFDAG00000026564.1)". Lineage: Eukaryota; Metazoa; Chordata; Mammalia; Rodentia; Bathyergidae. The record is from RNAcentral.